This 200-nucleotide ribosomal RNA is filed under the name uncultured bacterium. RNAcentral's name for it is "partial 16S ribosomal RNA". It matches the Rfam family "Bacterial small subunit ribosomal RNA", at positions 28 to 223 of the family's 1533-position model. The record is from RNAcentral.
GAUGAACGCUAGCGGCAGGCCUAAUACAUGCAAGUCGAGGGGCAGCGCAGUGUAGCAAUACAUGGGCGGCGACCGGCAAACGGGUGCGGAACACGUACACAACCUUCCUUUCAGCGGGGAAUAGCCCAGAGAAAUUUGGAUUAAUACCCCAUAGUAUAUUGGUCAGGCAUCUGACUAUUAUUAAAGAUUUAUCACUGAAA